GGCUAAGGUGAGGAUGGUAUUUGC
RNAcentral lists this non-coding RNA (24 nucleotides) under Arabidopsis thaliana (thale cress). Lineage: Eukaryota; Viridiplantae; Streptophyta; Magnoliopsida; Brassicales; Brassicaceae. The record is from RNAcentral.